AAAAUUUCUAAGGCUAUUCUCUCAAUCUCAAUACAUAUCACAUUUCUGAAUUGUAACCUUGUAGCUUAUGGUUGCAGCUCCAUCUUAUUUAGCUCUGGGUUUUUUUUGGGUUGAUAUGCGAAUUAGGCGUCAUUUUACAUUAACACAAGCUAUCGUCGCUAGCAUCCUCGGAACAGUAGGAGGUCUAUACCUCUGGCCCCCGCUGUUAAGUAAACAUUUUGAAAAAUUUCCCAGAGCAAGAAAGGGUGUAGCUCCUGAUUCGUCUGAGACUGCUGGUCUAAAAAAUCCUUCAGAAGCAACUACUUAAUGAGAAAGCAAUUCAAAAUCACAGAACGUGAACUCUCAACCAGCUGCCCCAGUCGCAAUUUAACAGGGAUGUCUAAGCCAUCAAAGAAUUCAUCCUCAUCAGUAUCUCAGUGGGCGGCGAAAUCCCCACUGUCACCGGUUCUUGCAGUUUCAAUUGCAUUAGGAAUUGGAAUCCUUGCUUGGAAAUUUGCGUUAAAACCGCUCUCACAGAAUUCAAAAAUGUACAAAAACGAGCAAGAAGCUGAGAUAUUAUUCCUGGCCUCUCAAAAACCAAAGCCUGAAAAUGUGGAUAAUUUUCGUUCCUAAAAAUACGAAAUUUAGGGGUGUUUUUUUUUUUCUUUCUAUCUAGUAAAUUUUUAGAGCACCUAGUUAUGAUAUUUUGUUUUGAGUUUUUAUUGUCUUUUGUGCCUAAACAAAGAGCACGUACAGCUUGAAUUUUUUUAGUCGUUUACGUGACAAGAGACUUUCAUCUUUGUAAUGGACUUAUUCUGGCACAUGCACGAGGCAAAAGAAAAAAGAAAUAAACAAAUGAGAAAUACAAGCACGCCAAUGUUUUCCCUCUCGUCAUUAAGACUUCAUUCUCUAAAUUAAAAUUUUAUCACGAAACCACAACCAACUAUCUAAUCGAUGGCUAAAGAGCAGAAACACGUAUCUCCGUUUGCAACAUUGCAGCCUUCCUUUUCACCAUAACUGGGUAAGGGAAGACCAUAGAGCAGUGAGAUUCACGAUACAUACUUUAUUAGACACUAGCUGGCCCCCCGCGCUCCGCACGGGCAACACUCACUUUCUCAAAUACUAAAUUCAGUUCAUUUGUAAAAUUUUUAUUGAUAUCAAUGAAAAUUUUAAUAGAAAUCGACUAUAAGAAUUUUGAUGCUGCUUUAUUUUAUUUAUGCUACAGAUUUUUAAAAAGUUUCAAUUUCCUCAACAAUAGAGGUUGCCAUCAACUCUAAUGAUUUUGUUUCAUUGUAAUCUUUAACUCUUGCAUUAAGAACUUUAUACCAUUUUUCUCCCUAUACUUCCGGCUUAUUUGAAUUCCAUGCACUAUUUUGUGCCAAAAGAAAUUCAGAAAAAUUGACACAAAUAUUUGUAACAGUUUAAUGAAACAGGGUUGAACCAAAUAAAUUAAUAGAAUGGGCCUGUUGCAAGGUGAGGGGAUUUGCAAAUUGAUGCCUGAUUCCUGUGGCAAAUUUCACGAAAAGAACGAUGGCGCUACUAAAAAAACUUAAAAUGACCUCACAAACUCAAAAAAAGCUGUUUUUGGAACCGACCCAUUCGAAACGGUCACUUUUACGCGGUAACGGAUCCGCCAUACUGGUGACGUCAAAUGGUUCGACAGACCUGGUCUUUUCAUCAAUAACAAUGUAUUUUCCCAUAAGGAAUUGGCAGCCGCUCUUCAAAUGCAAAUAUCGAGUCAAUCUAUGAUUUUUUGAACAAAAUGGAAUUCAGAAAUGGAUUCCUUGUGCGUUUAAAUGGUUAGAACCUUCAUUAGAUAAAUAAGAAUCGACGGGAUACCAUAAGGUUAAAGUGUUAAAGUGUUACCACCUCUGAUUGGCUCAGCCAUCUUAGGCUGAAUAGAGCCCUUAUGACCCAAAAAUAGCGGACGCCAUAAGUUAAUCUAAUGCAAAGUGACUCAAAAUGUAGUUUUCUUUGCUCAUCAUAACGAGAAAUUCACCCAAAUGCACUAUUGCGACUUCUUUACAUAUUUUUAAGGCUAAUCGUGUGCAAUUUUCGAGAAAAAUUAUCUAAGGUGUAGUAAGGUUGGCAGUAAGUGCGGUUGGUGAUAACCGUCAAAAGUUGGCAAGGACCCCCCUCUCAUCCUCAAAAACCGAAACAAAGCACCGCCAUUUUUGGGUCCUAAGCCUCUCCAUGGGGCCCAGUAGAGUCCCUUUAUACUGAGAGUCAAGACAAUUCGAAUCCAUUUCUGAUUGGUUCCCGUAUUUUAGGCCUCCACAGUGUCACAAACGGGAAUAAAGAUUACAGUUUUACCGAUUGCAAAGAUUAUAAUCUGGAAUGGACCAGGGAAUUACGGGUUCGGCAAGGAACAAACGGAGUGAGCGAAGGAACGGAGAAAGGAAUUUGAGAAUGGGCUGAUCAAAGAUUACGAAAAACGUUCAAUUUCUGUAAUCUUUAUUCCCGUUUGUGACAUCCAUGAGCCGAAUUGUCUUGACUCUCAGUAUAAAGGGACUCUAGGGCCCAGUGGCCAUACUCUCUUAAUAUAGGUACUCUAAUCAUGGGGCUCCGAGAGACUUGCCUCGCUACGCCUGUACUAAACCGAGCCGGACGCACGGUCUACGUGAUUCAAUGUCUUUGCACUGUGGAGGAGGCCUAAAAUACGGGAACCAAUCAGAAAUGGAUUCAAAUUGUCUUGACUCUCAGUAUAAAGGGACUCUAAGGUCGGGAAGCAACAGCAGAAUCGUCCAAGCAAGUAAAGUGAACGUAAGAAUACCAUCCAUUACUUAUUUGUAAUUUGAAUUAACAACUUACAUAUUAAAAAAAGCUAGAAAUAAGCGCGACGAAAUUCACUAAAAUAAAAAAAUGUUUUGUUUGUUUACACUUUUACCCCCGCUUUCCGCCAUUAGGGUUUCUCACACGAUCAAUAUGAGCUAUUAAUAUAUCAAGGUCAUGAUGCGCGCGCAGCUUGUGCGACCAAUCACAGCUCUUCGAUCCAUCAAUAUCGAUAUUGAUGAGAUUGAUAGCCUCAUAUUGAUCGUCUGAGAACCCCUAAUUUCACGUCAUUUUCGCAGUCGGACCAUGUCGGACGUGUGAACACAACCGAAUCGAGAUUCUGGCAUCAACACUCAACAAAAGUAGAGUACCUAUAUUGAGAGAGUAUGGCCACUGGGCCCCGUGGAGAGGCUUAUUAGGACCCAAUAAUGGCGGUGCGUUGUUUUGGUUUUUGUGGAAGGGAGGGGGGUCAUUGCCAACUUUUGACGGUUUUCACCAACCGCACUUACUGCCAACCUUACUACAUCUAAGAUAAUUUUUCUCGAAAAUCGCACACGAUUAGCCAUAAAAAUAUGUAAAGAAGUCGCAAUAGUGCAUUCGAGUAUAUUUCUCGCUACGAUAAGCAAAGAAAACUACAUUUUGAGUCAUUUUGCAUUACAUUAAUUUAUGGCGUCCGCCAUUUUUGGGUUCUAAGGGCUCCAUUCAGCCUAAGAUGGCUGAGCCAAUCAGAGGUGGUAACUCCAGUGGCCAUACCCUCUUGAAGCGUCACCCACCUACAAACUAGAGGCUUCAAAAGACUCAUCGAUUGCCCCGACUUAAACCGCUGGCCAAUGAGGGGCCAGGAAAGGCAUCGAUGGACCUCUUUGAAGCCUC
Molecule: long non-coding RNA, 3624 nt
Filed under: Bemisia tabaci
Lineage: Eukaryota; Metazoa; Arthropoda; Insecta; Hemiptera; Aleyrodidae
Description: lncRNA ENSSSA1UGG010638
Source: RNAcentral